CGGUUUCUGUGUCGCAGCUAACGCAUUAAAGUUCCCGCCUGGGGAGUACGGCCGCAAGGCUAAAACUCAAAGGAAUUGACGGGGGCCCGCACAAGCGGCGGAGCAUGCGGAUUAAUUCGAUGCAACGCGAAGAACCUUACCAAGGCUUGACAUAUACCGGAAACGUCCAGAGAUGGUCGCCCCGCAAGGUCGGUAUACAGGUGGUGCAUGGUUGUCGUCAGCUCGUGUCGUGAGAUGUUGGGUUAAGUCCCGCAACGAGCGCAACCCUCGUUCUAUGUUGCCAGCACGUUAUGGUGGGAACUCAUAGGAGACUGCCGGGGUCAACUCGGAGGAAGGUGGGGAUGACGUCAAAUCAUCAUGCCCCUUAUGUCUUGGGCUUCACGCAUGCUACAAUGGCCGAUACAAAGGGCUGCAAUACCGUAAGGUGGAGCGAAUCCCAAAAAGUCGGUCUCAGUUCGGAUUGAGGUCUGCAACUCGACCUCAUGAAGUCGGAGUCGCUAGUAAUCGCAGAUCAGCAACGCUGCGGUGAAUACGUUCCCGGGCCUUGUACACACCGCCCGUCAAGUCAUGAAAGUCGG
RNAcentral lists this ribosomal RNA (578 nucleotides) under Frondihabitans sp. RNAcentral's name for it is "bacterial SSU rRNA". It matches the Rfam family "Bacterial small subunit ribosomal RNA", at positions 835 to 1414 of the family's 1533-position model. Lineage: Bacteria; Bacillati; Actinomycetota; Actinomycetes; Micrococcales; Microbacteriaceae. The record is from RNAcentral.